AUCUUGGUCAGUUCUCUGGACCUCCAACACCCGCAUCUGGUCUCUCAUUCAAGGAUUCCUCUUAGCUUAAGAGGAUUCACCAUAACCAACCCCUCCUAGCUUCAGAAGAUUCACCAUAACCAACCCCUCCUAGCUUCAGAGGAUUCACCAUAUCCAACCCUGCUUAGCCUCAGAGGAUUCACCAUGUCCAACCCUGCUUAGCCUCAGAGGAUUCACCAUAUCCAACCCUGCUUAGCCUCAGAGGAUUCACCAUAUCCAACCCUGCUUAGCCUCCGAGGAUUCACCAUAUCCAACCCUGUUUAGCCUCAGAGGAU
Long non-coding RNA from Oncorhynchus tshawytscha (Chinook salmon), 314 nucleotides. The record is from Ensembl. Lineage: Eukaryota; Metazoa; Chordata; Actinopteri; Salmoniformes; Salmonidae.